AUUCAUAUCUCAAGGAAUUGAAUAUGAGAUUGCAUCUCGUAACUGUUUAUUCUUAUCUCAAGGAAAGGAUGAUUUUGUAUUGUUAAAAAAAAAAAAUCAGUUUUUUAUUGUAGUACAAGUAAAUCGAAUCUUAGUUAUUCGUAAAAAUUAGUAGCAUCAGCAUGAUGGACAUCGAUUCCUCUUGUUGCAUUGGAGUUUCUAAUACCCUAGAGCUGUCCAAUUUUUCCUUUGUUUAUUUAGAUAAGUUCAAGAGGUUUUUUGUUCUUUUCGUGAGGUUUGAUUGACCCCUAGUUUUGUGGUGGUUUCUUGUAAUUUUGAUUCUUCUUUAUUGUAUCUGUUUCUUAUCGGAUGAACAGAAGGAAGUCAGUUGUCUUAUUAUCUAAAACAUGUUAAAAUACCAUGAUGAAUAGAUUCGACUAAUGAAGUAAAGGGUGAUGAAGUGUGAUGUUAAUUUGUGCUCUCAAGAUAAGUUCUGAAAGAAUCUCUGCAUUUCUUUAAAUAUAUGCCAAUGAUGCCUAAAAAUCAGAAAAGAACAAUAAGAAUGAAAGAAAAGAAACGGAGCUUCUUUCUUUUCAUCUCUUAAUAAGAGAAUUCUUGACAGGGCACUAGUAAAGUGUAUUCUUUCUUUUUGAACAAGAGACAAAUUUUGCGUUAUAAACGAGAAGUUAGAAAAAUGUUCAAGUAUACAAGUGAAAAGAAAACCAAACAAAAAGAAAAAAAAAAGUGAAAAGAAAAGAAAAAAAGUAUUAUCCAAAUAAUACGUGAGCCAAAAAAUAAAGAGUUAAAGAACAAAAUAUCUAUGAAGACACCAACCACUAACGAACCAAAACUACCAAGACUACUCCCACCAAGCUGCAAAUCUGCUGACCAGAAGAAAAAACAACCAGAAACCAAAUUUGGAAAGUGAAUUAAUUCCUACUGCACAACCUCAAAAAAGAAAAAAAGAAAAAAAGAAAAAAAAAAAAGAACCCUAUCAGGCUAUAUUAGCUUAAAAAACUGAAAAGUAGACUUCCUCGAUAAAGGUAUAGUUCAAAAUUUGGAUAGAGAGAAAACGGAGGAACCCUUUCACGAACUUCUAACCAAUUAAAGAAAGACUCCAGAGAGACAAGGCAAGUUAGAUAUGAUUAUAAAUAGUAUAUAUAGAAGUAUUAAGUGCAAUGCUAACAAAUAUAAUUGGUUUAAAAGUUAGAGCAAAAUCCUAUUGUCUAAUUCAAGGAAAUAUUCUGUCGUUGAGACAUGAGUGGUAAAAAAAAAUGUGAUAUUAAAGGAAGUACCAGUUGGUUUAAUCUCCCUUUCCCAUCCGCAUAUUUUUAAUCUCCCUUUCCCAUCCGCAUAUUUUUAUUUAUUUGUCAAGUACCAGUUAUCCGCUUGAUGUGAUCUGCAAUGCAUUUGAUAUGCAUUUAAUCAAAUGUGUGCAAAUGGUGAUAAAAUGUGGCGUGCAUUGAAACAAAAAGUGAUAUGCAUUGAAACAAAAAGAGAUAUGCAUUGAAACAAAAAGGCUCACAGAAUAUCACUUGACUCUACUGCCCAAGUAUAAAUAGAUUGCGUUGGCAAAUAAUACCUGGGUUCUCUUGGGUCGAUUCCACAGGGAGUUUGACACUUUUGAUUCAUAAAGAGAAGAUUGACAAGCAAAAAUACAGACUACAAAAUAGCCCGAUUUAUAAAAAGUAGUUUGGUUUGGUGAUGGAACGGAAAUGAAAAUAAAUUAAGUAAUAAAUGGAUAUUAACUCUGAAUAACGGCACAAUGCUUGGCUCUUUAGCUACCUAUGGUGAACCUUUCCUAUUCAAGGAGUCCUACAAGUGCCUCCCCCUUCCAGUAUUGCACUAUGCUAAAUAGGUAGUUAGAUUCCUUUGUGCUACUCUUGUUCAUUAAACACUGCAUAAAUGUGCUACUACUUUGUAUCAGUUGCCCAAACUGAUAAAAGUAAUUUCAACACACUUUCAAGUAGAAGAACACCAAGAAUUUUUGGAGAAAUUUUCAGCAAAUACAAAAUAAGAGUAGCUCAAAAUAGGGGCCUUAAAUCAAACCUUACAAAAACAGAGAAACUUUAUAGAAGUGGUAAUCUUCCUCUCCAACACUACGAGGGUGGUUCUCACUCCUCCCUUGCGUCCCCUCAGGCGAAGACUUGCUGCUCCGACUCCACAACAAGGUUACCAUGAAAACCCCUAUUCUCUCAGACAAGCCUUAAGAGAAUUCUCUCAAAAACUCCUAUUAGAAAAAUAAGUUUCCCUCCUUUCGCGAAGAAAUGACUCCCUAUUUAUAGGCAAAGCUUACCAUGGAUCUCAGCGCAUUUUCAUCUCCACACACACUGAAUAUCACGUGGAAGAGGACAAAACGGACCAGACGUAGGUUAACAACUCUGCAACAGUAACACACACUAUGAUACGAUCGUUAGGAGCCUUUGUCUCUUGUCAGAGUAGACGUGAUCUCCUCUUUGUGUUUAGCGCAGUAUGCCUUGCGACGAAGGAAUUGUCCUCAUCUCGACGCAUUUGUAUGCUUUCCUAGCACAACAUUCGCUGGCGUGCCUUAGAUCUCGCACGACUUCCUCCCUUUUCCUUCUUUCUUUCAUGCGCUUGACAUCCCUUUUUUUGACGCAUUACCAUUGCGUUGAGGGUUUCAGGCCAGUUCUUUGGAUGAUAACAAUGUGGAAGAAUCCUAUGCAAAUGCUUUUAUUUCCUUAUUUCAGUCGCAUUCAAAAUCGAAGAAGUUAAAGAGUUACUUCCAAAUCACAUCUCAGAAUCUCAAUGUCUUUCUUCAACUUCUAUUUCUUGCAAGUUUUCAUCUUUAAUCGAGCUUUGUGGUUUACAAACGCAUGAAAUUGCUUC
This is a long non-coding RNA of Cucurbita moschata (crookneck pumpkin), 2826 nucleotides long. RefSeq lists it as uncharacterized. The transcript has 2 exons. Lineage: Eukaryota; Viridiplantae; Streptophyta; Magnoliopsida; Cucurbitales; Cucurbitaceae. The record is from RefSeq and is a predicted model, not a curated record.